UACGGAGGGGGCGAGCGUUGUCCGAAGUUACUGGGCGUAAAGCGCGCGUAGGUGGGCCGGUAAGUCCGCUGUGAAAGCCCGGCGCUCAACGCCGGAGGGUCGGUGGAUACUGCCAGUCUUGAAGGUGCUAGGGGAAGAUGGAAUUACCAGUGUAGCGGUGAAAUGCGUAGAUAUUGGUAGGAACACCAGUGGCGAAGGCGGUCUUCUGGGGCACUCUUGACGCUGAGGCGCGAAAGCUGGGGGAGCGAACGGG
RNAcentral lists this ribosomal RNA (253 nucleotides) under uncultured bacterium. RNAcentral describes it as "partial 16S ribosomal RNA". It matches the Rfam family "Bacterial small subunit ribosomal RNA", at positions 524 to 776 of the family's 1533-position model. The record is from RNAcentral.